GUGCCAGCAGCCGCGGUAAUUCCAGCUCCAAUAGCGUAUAUUAAAGUUGUUGUGGUUAAAAAGCUCGUAGUUGAACCUUGGGCCUGGCUGGCCGGUCCGCCUCACCGCGUGCACUGGUCCGGCCGGGCCUUUCCCUCUGUGGAACCCCAUACCCUUCACUGGGCGUAGAGAGGAAACAGGACAUUUACUUUGAAAAAAUUAGAGUGCUCCAGGCAGGCCUAUGCUCGAAUACAUUAGCAUGGAAUAAUAAAAUAGGACGCGCGGUUCUAUUUUGUUGGUUUAUAGGACCGCCGUAAUGAUUAAUAGGGACAGUCGGGGGCAACAGUAUUCAACUGUCAGAGGUGAAAUUCUUGGAUCAGUUGAAGACUAACUACUGCGAAAGCUUUUGCCAAGGAUGUUUUCAUUAAUCAGGAACGAAAGUUAGGGGAUCGAAGACGAUCAGAUACCGUCGUAGUCUUAACCAUAAACUAUGCCGACUAGGGAUCGGACGGUGUUAUUCAUGACCCGUUCGGCACCAUACGAGAAAUCAAAGUGCUUGGGCUCCAGGGGGAGUAUGGUCGCAAGGCUGAAACUUAAAGAAAUUGACGGAAGGGCACCACCAGGGGUGGAGCCUGCUGCUUAAUUUGACUCAACACGGGCAAACUCACCAGGUCCAGACACAAUAAGGAUUGACAGAUUGAGAGCUCUUUCUUGAUUUUGUGGGUGGUGCUGCAUGGCCGUUCUUAGUGGUGGGGUGACUUGUCUGCUUAAUUGCGAUAACGAACGAGACCUUAACCUGCUAAAUAGCCCGCAUUGCUCCGGCAGUGCGCUGGCUUCUUAGAGGGACUUUCGGCUCAAGCCGAGGG
This 845-nucleotide ribosomal RNA is filed under the name uncultured fungus. Its description in RNAcentral is "SSU rRNA". It matches the Rfam family "Eukaryotic small subunit ribosomal RNA", at positions 564 to 1440 of the family's 1831-position model. Lineage: Eukaryota; Fungi. The record is from RNAcentral.